GUGGCUUCUUGGUAUAGAAGAAAUAUACAAAUCCAAUCUCGCUAACAGAAAGAAAAAAUGAAUCCAGUUGCCUGGUGGCCAGGGGCUCCUCUCCUUCCUCAAGCCUCUCCCGUUCAUGGUGACUUCUUAUGAUCUGACGAGCCUCGCGUGUUAUUCUCUCCUUCCGUGUGCCCCUAAUCUCGCUGUUUCUCUUUCUUCCCAAUAGCAACCAGGCGAGCUACAUGUUUGUACGAUUUAAACGCUGACAUGAAGAUAAUCAGUAGGCGUCGGUCACCCCAUACUAUGCUUCAGAUCGGUUCCUCACCUAAACACUACCAUCAUUAUGGGAAAACACUGAUGUGAUCUCCUUUCUGGGAAAAGAGAAAAAGUCAACCACGCACGGCAAGUAAAAUCCACCGGGUAAUGCCGAUCUCUAAUCAAGAUUCUAGAUCGCCAUCUCUCUGGAGCAUGUAUUGCGUGGCCUAGCAGCAACAGCUCAUCGUCAUCUCUCAUAUCUCAUCCGUGGAAGCAUGUAUGGAUGUGUUCAAGUGAUGGAUGCGUGUCUCAAGCCCUCCAACUACCAUCAGAAUCUCUAUAACAAGCAUAACAACGUGGUUAGGUCUCACGAAAUCAGGUGAUCUGAAAAUAACUGCUUGUAUCAGUGGAAGGCAUGUGACAUCUUGCCAAGAUAAACUGUCAACUACCGAGCAAAGGAAGCUUUCUAGGAAUUCAUAGGGUGGCCAGUGGACUGCUACCUUAAUUUUUUUCCUCUCGAGUUCUAAUGUUAUCGGACAAGUUAUUUAACCCAUUCAUCUAAUUACAACUUCGCAAGUUUACAAAAAACAAUGUCGAGACAAAUUGUCGAGUGCCGAGCAAAGGGAGUUUUGAAGCAUAUUCAUAUGGUGGCCACUGGACUAUAUUUAUUUUUUCGAUGGGAGUUCAAAUGUAUGUGUCCAUUGCCUAUUAUAUUAUUGUUACUGUGUUCCCAGGUUACAAACUGAAUGUGCUUUCAAAUUGGAAACCCAAUGCGACUUGAAAAACUUCUAAAUAGACUUUUAUUUGCUAAAUUUUUAUUAGUUUUAGUUUUUUUUCAGCAACUAUGGAAUGCCACCAUGUUUUAGUUGUGUUCUUUGUACAUUUACCAGUGGUUCAGAUGAUAGUUCAGAACAAUCUCAAUGGUAGAGAUUGAAUCACUAUUUGCACAAUUUAGGACACAGGAUUUUGAACAUAGUUUUAGUUCUUUGAUCCAGUUAAUUAUUUCUCAGCUGCCAGACGGAUAUAUUAGGCUUCACAUUUUGUAGAUUUGUGCAGGUUGUCGUACAACUUAUUUCAUCCAUUCAUCUAAUCACAACUUCGCAUUCACAGAAAACAUUGAGUCCCUUACAAUCAGUUUGCCCCGAGGACAGAUGUUGUUGUGAUGUCUCAGGUAAAUGAAUGGAUUCCCUAAAACAUUGUGCGAAUGAACUAUAUUGAUUGCUAAGUGUAUCCCGGAACUUCAAAAGCAAGAAUUUGGCUGAACUGAGAUUAAUCCGAAGUGAAAAGAGAGAUAAACACAGCUGCACAGCUGUGCUGCAACCUUCCCAAGUCUUCGGUUAAUUGAGACAAUGGAUAGAUAUCCCUAUGGUCAUGUAAUUCGUGCUGUCAAUAUGGUAUAUAUCUCUUCGCAGUUCCACUGUGUCCUCUCCAAGUGUUUGAUUAAUUGAGACUAUGGAUUACGUGGCCAGUAGCUACUACAUGGUUGAUAUUGCGCUUCGGGCUGAAUGUGCAACCAUACCCUAACAUUUAUGUGUAUUCUCAUAUUUGCUUCUUUUGUGGGCUUUCUACGUCCUAGCGCAGGAGCGGUACGACCAGAACAUGUUGCCAAGCUUUGCGCCCUACUACCUUAGUCACUGUUGUUGCAUAUCAUAUCAACCGCGCCAAGCCUAUAUAGCUACCAGAUACUCUACGGCCCUUUUAAUGGCAUUGUCCCGACUAGCAAUAGUUCAGUGACAUGACCAUCCAAUCAUCCAGUGACUGGAUUUCUUCAAGAUUUUCAUCUGAUGAAAAGCCUCCUCAGUGGUCGAGUUAUCUUUGCCACAUUGGUGCCAUCAUGUGUGAUUAGCAACGAUGGAGAGUACCCUAUCUAGCCGACAAUAUCAUGUGACUAACUUUUUUGGCAGCGGUGUUUACAAGAUUUUUACCUGAGAUGAAUACGACGAUAUGCUUGAGUAUUGUGCAUGCUUUCUAUGCAUGGUAGUGGUUGAAUUUUUAAUUUUGGAGCCAACUAGAUUAGUGUCAAGCGAUAGUGUAUGCCCUCAAUCAUGCAAGUCAAAAAACUCAUGCAAGUGAUCGACCAAAUGGAGGUUAUUUUUACUAAGAUGUGCAUUGGGUAUAUGCAGUACAU
Molecule: long non-coding RNA, 2362 nt
Organism: Triticum aestivum (bread wheat)
Lineage: Eukaryota; Viridiplantae; Streptophyta; Magnoliopsida; Poales; Poaceae
Exons: 3
Source: RefSeq, a predicted model, not a curated record